Molecule: ribosomal RNA, 253 nt
Filed under: uncultured bacterium
Lineage: Bacteria
Description: partial 16S ribosomal RNA
Rfam family: Bacterial small subunit ribosomal RNA
Source: RNAcentral
UACGAAGGAUCCAAGCGUCAUCCGGAUUUAUUGGGUUUAAAGGGUGCGUAGGCGGGCUAUUAAGUCAGUGGUGAAAGCCCCAAGCUUAACUUGGGAAUUGCCAUUGAUACUGAUGGUCUUGAGUACACUUGAAGUGGGCGGAAUGUGUCAUGUAGCGGUGAAAUGCUUAGAUAUGACACAGAACACCGAUUGCGAAGGCAGCUCACUAAAUUGUAACUGACGCUGAGGCACGAAAGCGUGGGGAUCAAACAGG